This 465-nucleotide ribosomal RNA is filed under the name Vreelandella stevensii. RNAcentral's name for it is "partial 16S ribosomal RNA". It matches the Rfam family "Bacterial small subunit ribosomal RNA", at positions 338 to 795 of the family's 1533-position model. The record is from RNAcentral. Lineage: Bacteria; Pseudomonadati; Pseudomonadota; Gammaproteobacteria; Oceanospirillales; Halomonadaceae.
CCUACGGGGGGCAGCAGUGGGGAAUAUUGGACAAUGGGGGGAACCCUGAUCCAGCCAUGCCGCGUGUGUGAAGAAGGCCCUCGGGUUGUAAAGCACUUUCAGUGAGGAAGAACGCCUGGUGGUUAAUACCCAUCAGGAAAGACAUCACUCACAGAAGAAGCACCGGCUAACUCCGUGCCAGCAGCCGCGGUAAUACGGAGGGUGCGAGCGUUAAUCGGAAUUACUGGGCGUAAAGCGCGCGUAGGUGGCUUGAUAAGCCGGUUGUGAAAGCCCCGGGCUCAACCUGGGAACGGCAUCCGGAACUGUCAAGCUAGAGUGCAGGAGAGGAAGGUAGAAUUCCCGGUGUAGCGGUGAAAUGCGUAGAGAUCGGGAGGAAUACCAGUGGCGAAGGCGGCCUUCUGGACUGACACUGACACUGAGGUGCGAAAGCGUGGGUAGCAAACAGGAUUAGAUGCCCGAGUAGUC